AACUUUGCAAUGGGCCAGUUUUUUGUGAACCCAUUGUAAACUUUAUAAGGGGACUAUUCUAUAACCCCAUUUUUUUGUUAAGGGACUAUUCUAUAACCCCAUGUUUUGUAUAGGGUCCUUCGACCUAUUCUUUUUUACCAAUGAGUCCCGCCUAGAGGGCACUCUCGGACUGACCUCCAACUUGUACUUCUUUCCAUUCAGCAAUACAAAUGUUGACAUUUAUCAGAAAAAAAGUGUGUACAUUCAACAGAAUCGAUCAUUCUUGUACAUAAAGUUCCAACUUUGC
RNAcentral lists this long non-coding RNA (286 nucleotides) under Amborella trichopoda. Its description in RNAcentral is "long non-coding RNA (ATRI_LNC003803)". Lineage: Eukaryota; Viridiplantae; Streptophyta; Magnoliopsida; Amborellales; Amborellaceae. The record is from RNAcentral.